This 253-nucleotide ribosomal RNA is filed under the name uncultured bacterium. Its description in RNAcentral is "partial 16S ribosomal RNA". It matches the Rfam family "Bacterial small subunit ribosomal RNA", at positions 524 to 776 of the family's 1533-position model. The record is from RNAcentral.
UACGUAGGGGGCUAGCGUUGUCCGGAUUUAUUGGGCGUAAAGAGCGUGUAGGCGGCCAUGUAGGUCCGGUGUGAAAACUCGAGGCUUAACCUCGAGAUGUCAUCGGAAACCAUUUGGCUAGAGUCCGGAAGAGGAGAGUGGAAUUCCUGGUGUGGCGGUGAAAUGCGCAGAUAUCAGGAAGAACACCAAUGGCGAAAGCAGCUCUCUGGGACGGUACUGACGCUGAGACGCGAAAGCGUGGGGAGCGAACAGG